This 1010-nucleotide ribosomal RNA is filed under the name Parabacteroides distasonis. RNAcentral describes it as "partial 23S ribosomal RNA". It matches the Rfam family "Bacterial large subunit ribosomal RNA", at positions 1940 to 2925 of the family's 2925-position model. The record is from RNAcentral. Lineage: Bacteria; Pseudomonadati; Bacteroidota; Bacteroidia; Bacteroidales; Tannerellaceae.
CUAUAACGGUCCUAAGGUAGCGAAAUUCCUUGUCGGGUAAGUUCCGACCUGCACGAAUGGUGUAACCAUGGCCACGCUGUCUCCACCCGAGACUCAGUGAAAUUGAAAUCGCUGUGAAGAUGCAGUGUACCCGCGGCUAGACGGAAAGACCCCGUGAACCUUUACUACAGCUUGGCACUGAACAUUGAACCUACAUGUGUAGGAUAGGUGGGAGACUAUGAAAUUGCGUCGCUAGAUGUGAUGGAGUCGUCCUUGAAAUACCACCCUUGUAGUUUUGAUGUUCUAACGUUGGUCCCUGAAUCGGGGUUACGGACAGUGCCUGGUGGGUAGUUUGACUGGGGCGGUCUCCUCCCAAAGAGUAACGGAGGAGCACGAAGGUUGGCUAAACACGGUUGGACAUCGUGUGGUUAGUGCAAUGGCAUAAGCCCGCUUGACUGCGAGAAUGACAAUUCGAGCAGGUGCGAAAGCAGGUCAUAGUGAUCCGGUGGUUCUGAAUGGAAGGGCCAUCGCUCAACGGAUAAAAGGUACUCCGGGGAUAACAGGCUGAUACCGCCCAAGAGUUCAUAUCGACGGCGGUGUUUGGCACCUCGAUGUCGGCUCAUCACAUCCUGGGGCUGAAGUCGGUCCCAAGGGUAUGGCUGUUCGCCAUUUAAAGUGGUACGCGAGCUGGGUUUAGAACGUCGUGAGACAGUUCGGUCCCUAUCUGCCGUGGGCGUUGGAAAAUUGAAAGGGGCUGCUCCUAGUACGAGAGGACCGGAGUGGACGAACCUCUGGUGUUCGGGUUGUCAUGCCAAUGGCAUUGCCCGGUAGCUACGUUCGGAAUCGAUAAGCGCUGAAAGCAUCUAAGCGCGAAGCGAGCCUUGAGAUGAGUUUUCCCUGGCACUAUAAGUGUCCUAAAGGGUUGUCGUAGACUACGACGUUGAUAGGCAGGGUGUGUAAGUGCUGCGAGGCAUUGAGCUAACCUGUACUAAUUGCCCGUGAGGCUUAACCAUACAACACCCAAGGGGUUU